GCCGCCUACGUCCUCACCGUUCUCUCCUCCUCCUCCCUUCCCGCCCACUCUGUCUUAUACGACGUCUUCCUCACCUACCCCCUCGGCCGCUCCCUCAUCCUCUCCCCCUUCCCGCCGCCUUCCCCGGGUCCCACCCUGGCCUUCGACCUCGUCCAGGAGAUCUACCCGGGCGACCCCUACGCCGAUGUGGCGAAGGAGGUGCUCCCCACCUUCCACGCCUACGCCCGCUCCGGCGCCGCCGCCGGCCCGGCUGCCUACGCCAACUACGGCCGCCUGGAGGACUUUGCCGCUCUGAGGGCCGCGGGUGUGAACGUCACCGGCGCGGUGGUCCUCGCGAGGUACGGUAAGAUAUAUCGCGGGGACAUCAUAAAGAACGCGAAGGACGCCGGGGCGGCGGCGGCGGUGGUGUUCACGGACGCCAAGGACUACGGCGGCGGCGGGCGGGGGCGGUUCCCGGAGGGACCAGGGAUGCCGGCGAGCGGUGUGCAGGUAGGGACCACGUCCCGGGGGGUUGGCGACCCGACGACGCCCGGGUGGGCGAGCACCCGCGGGUGUGAGCGGUGGAGCGCUGCGGAGGUGGCGGCGAGCGGGCUGGUGCCGGGGAUCCCAUCGCUGCCGGUGUCGGCCCGGGACGGGGAGGCGAUCCUGAAAACCAUCGGGGGACAGGUGGCGGCCGAUGAUUGGCAGGGCGGCGAGGGGGCGCCCCUGUACCGGCUCGGGCCGGGUCCUGGUUUCCUCAACCUCACAUACAUUGUAAGUUGGAGUGUCACUCGGGAUCAUCUGAUUGAUGGUGAUCUCCUAGGUUUCUUCUGGAUUAUCGCUCUCUUUUUAAUUUUAUUAUCUUUUUUUGGACUUGUAUGGUGGUAUGUUUACUGAAAUGUUACCGGCGGCCUCAUCACUUACGGAAAUGUUAGGGAGAUGAAACAUUGCCAACAAUCCAAAAUGUCUUUGCGGUGAUCCAGGGGGAGGAAGAACCUGACCGGUAAGUUUUGUCGCUUGUAUUAUUUUAAAAUGGCAUCGUUAUCGUUAUUUGGGGUUAGAUUUAGUUUUCUUAUAGUUUAUUAAAACAAGAUGACUUAAACAAAUGUCAGGAUCUUCUGACUGUUUGUGGUGGGUGGAGAGUAUAAAACAAAUUUCUUUGUAAGUUAGCCAAAAAGUAAAAAACAGAACGCAGGAUGGGAGGAAUUAUGUAAUUAAUACUUCAAUUAGAUCGAGAUGCUGCCUGGAUGAUGGAAGGGAGCACAAAAAGAAAAAAAAAUAAUUCAGCAAUGCUUAUGGAAAUCGCAUGCAUGCAUUUGUCAAGUAAAACAGAUGAGAUUUGAGGUUUUGGCGCAAGCUUUAUUGGAAUUUGGAAAUGAAUCUUAUGAUUGGACUUUAAUAGCGGAGCAUGUUUAAUGAUCUAGAGAGAAUUUGGUGGUCAGUUGAGGAAAUUAGGAUGAAUUUGAUCCAUAUCCCUGUCAAAUUGUUGAGUGUGGUUUUGUGGUUGAGCACUUGCUUUGGGCUGCUAAGAUCAUUGGAAUAUGUAGUCUGAUUGACCAUUCUAAAAGUCAUGUGGAUGUCUGUUUGGAGGAGAGACUAAAGACUUACUGUGCCAAAAUUUCUGAAGAGCCUUAGUAGGAUAUUAAGUGCAUGCUUGAGGGUUUGUUUACACUGUCAAAAAUAAUUUUAAAUCUAAAAAUAAAAUUUUAAUUAUUUGGUUCCAAUUCAAAAAUAAUUUUAGAUCGUUGGAGAUUGUACGAAAUAUAGUUUGCAUAAAGCUAUCCUUCUCUCAUUUUCAGUACACAGUACAUACGGCACUGUAAAUUAAAAUGUCAUAUUCGCAGAGAGUUAUUAUUUUUUUCAAAAAAUAAUGUGUUGCCUCUCAGCAUCAAGUUUGCAGAAAAUUAUUAUUUUUUAAAAAAUAAUGUGUUGCCUCUCACUACCCCUCUCUCCUCCGUUUCUUUCCGACUUGAGGCUCACUUUUUUCUGAAAAAAGAUUAGCCUAACAAAGUGGUAAUAAUCACGUCUCUCUCUCCUUAGUAGCAACGAGAUGUCCAUUUCCAAUCUUUUGUUAUUAAAAAAAAUCGGUGCAAAUGUUUGUCUUUAAUGACCACUUUCAUUUCAUUAAUAAUUAUAUUAGCUUUUUGUGCCCAACAAAAAUUCGAACAAAAGAAGAUUGUCGGUGACAAUAUUAAGGCCCUAUUUGAGGAGCUGUUGGCAGUAGAACUUUUGGCAGUAGAGCUACUGAAAGUAGAGUUUUCUGAAGUAGAGGUUUUAUAAAAAGCUGUUUGUUAUUUGAUAACUAUAUUUCUAAAAUGCUGUGGCAUUUUAACAUGUGUUUGAUAAACAAACUGAAAAAGUACUUUUGUAUGACAAAAUUACUAUAAAGGACAUUGCAUAGUAUUAUACAACAGAGUAUAAUAAAAUAUAACACAUAUUAAUAUAUAAAUAUAUGAUAUAGUAUAAUAUUACUAUAAUGUAAUAUAAUAUUAUUAUAAUAUAGUAAUAUAAUAUUGUAUACUAUAGCAUAAUAAUUUAAUAAAUAUUAAAUUAUUUAACAUAACAUAUCAAUAUAUUAUGAUAUUAUGUAAUAUAAUAUUAUAUUUAUAGUAUAAUACAAUAAUAAAGAUAAAAAAUAUUAUAAUUAUUAGCGUACAUUAAUUUUUCAUAAUAUAGCAUAAUAUUAAAUUAUUUAACAUAACACAUUAAUGUAUUAUGAUAUAAUGUAAUAAAAUAUUAUAUUUAUAGUAUAAUAUAAUAAUAGGAAACAAAAAUACCUAUUCUUGCAUGGAAGGGAGUCUGAUUCAUGGCUAGGGUUCUUUGUUAGGGCUCUAGCAGAUUUUUAGAUUUAUAAAGAAACAAAGUAUGUAAUUGUUAUAUUUUAUUAUGGGUAUUUUGGUCAAAAAAAACUUCUCGAAAAAAUCGCAAAACAGCUUUUUCGAAAAAUUUCAAAAUAGAGCUUCUUCCAAAAAGCUGUUUUUAGCUUUCUGAAAAAACUAAAACAACUUUCCAAAAUUUUUACCAAACGUUCUUUUCAUCCAAAAGUACUUUUGGAGUGCUUUUUGGCCCUCCAAAAACUCCUCCAAACGGGGCCUAAAUUAUCAUUAAAACUCAUUUUUAAUCAUUAAUUUCUUAUCAAAUUGUCAUUUUUGGGCCAUUUAGCGAUAAUUUUUUGAUCUUUGGAGACAAAUAAAAUCGUCACUAAUAUUUAUCUUUAACAACCAUUUGUGUUUCGUCGCUAAAUGUAAUAGUUCUUCUAACGACUUUGUAUUUUGGGCAGUAAAAUUUUAAGCACAGGUCUUUAGGGACCGUGUAGCGAUGAAAGUAAAAUACUUUAUGAUCGAAUUUUUUGCCAAUAAAAAUCUGUAGUUUUGUAGUGUGUAUUAUUUGCCUAGUAUCAUGGAAAGCAGUUCAAGAUGUACGAUAGUUAUUUUUAUCCUUCAAACUAGCACAUAUGAAUUACAGCAAUAAAAGUUGGCCUACUUUAGCAUCAUCCGGCGAUACCUGCAGGUAUGUUCUCCUAGGUAAUCAUCGUGAUGCAUGGACGUUUGGAGCGGUUGACCCCAGCAGUGGAACUGCAGCUUUACUUGAGGUAACUCUAACCUCUUACAGUCAAUACUUCAUCCAAAAACUGUAUCAGUUUCAGUUAAAUAAUCUCAGGAUGAAUCAUCGCCUCAUUUCACUGAUUAAUGUCAUGUUUUGACAUUUGUUUUGACGUAAGCUUGUUAUCUAAAUUCUUUUUUCUAGGUAGCUCAGAGGUUUGGGAAGCUGCAAAAGAUAGGAUGGAGACCUCGACGAACCAUUAUUUUAUGUAAUUGGGAUGCAGAAGAGUACGGCUUGGUCUCUCUCUCUCUCUCUCNNNNNNNNNNNNNNNNNNNNGCAGAAGAGUACGGCUUGGUCUCUCUCUCUCUCUCUCUCUCUCUAUCUAUCUAUCUAUCUAUCUAUCUCAGUCACACAUACACACAUAUGCAUGCACGGUCACGCAUUCAGUUACGCAUUUGUAACAUAGCUGGUAACUUGACAUAUUCCAUCACCUCUGUACUUUUCUGCAGAUAGGAUCGACAGAUUGGGUUGAAGAGAACAGGGAGAUGUUAGCUUCAAGAGCUGUUGCCUAUCUGAAUGUUGAUUGUGCAGUCUCUGGUCCUGGAUUCCAGGCCUCUGCAACCCCGCAACUUGAUGAGCUGCUCAAACAAGCAAGUGAAAAGGUGGAUGGCAUUGUCAUUUCCUGUCAAUUUUUUUUGACUUAACAAACAUAAACUUAAACUUAGAAUAGCAUCAACAUUCAAGAAACAUUAGUUUAAGUGGACAGUUGAUGGACAGUUGUAGAUAUGUGAGUAAUUUUGUGCUUAUGGUAAUAGGAGUCUUUGACUCUUGACAAUAGUAGUGUGUAUGAGCUGAUGAAUAUUAGAAAUCAUUGCGAAAGAGGCAUUGCAUUUAUAUCACCAGCCUUUUCUCUGUAUAAAACCUUAAUAACGUUUGUUAUUUUUUUAUUGUUAAGGUUCGAGAUCCAGACAAUUCCUCUCAGACAUUAUAUGAAUCAUGGAUUGCAUCUAAUUAUUCUUCGCUGGUGAGUAGUUAAAUUUGUUUCUUUGCUUCCGUGUUGAAAGUUGUAUUUAACUUUGAUGUAUUUCCAGAGAAAAUAAUAUGUAUUUAUAUUUAUCCCCAGUUAAUUUUAGCUUUGAUACUUGAUAACUGAAAACCAACUUUUCCCUUAAUCCAUUGAAAGAUUGGGAGAUUAGGUGGUAGAGGAUCAGAUUUUGCGGCUUUUGUCCAACACGUCGGAGUUCCAUCAGUUGACAUGAUUUUUGGAGGAGGUAACUUUCUUGUCUGUCCAAAAGUCUGAAUCUCUUUUCAUGAUCUCACUUCCUAAUUUUCUUUCUUCUAUCGUAGAUACUUUUCAGCACGCUUUAGCUACUAGCUAAUAAUUUUAGGAAAGAGAUUCUAUGCGGUACACACCUGCGUUCUCCCCCUGUAUGAGAAAUAACUUCUCCAUAAAAUCUAUGCUUUCAAAGCUGCCUUAUGGGUUGAUUGCUUCCCCAAUACAUAUAUUAUUGAGAGAGAGAUCGGAAAGAACACUAACGAAGAAAGUACUCUACUGAUGGAAUUAAAUAUUCCAGUAGCUAUAGUCAUAAAUGAUAGAUGGACAUUGUACGUAUUGACCCAUGCAGUACUGCAACUAAUGCAGUACUGCUUGCUGGCCAUUUUGUGCUCGGGGGUUUGAAAGCGUGUUCGGCUGGGAUAUAAUACUAUACUUAGAAGUUUCAUUGGUAUACUUGAACUGUUGAACAUCGAACUAACCAUUAUCUUAUAGAUAUAAAGUCACCACGACGUACUCCAAGAAUAUACUGUGGGGCACUUUUAUUACAAUUUUGCUCUCACAAGUAGUUCUAAUUCCAGACAUGUCCUUCUGUGUUAUACGGCCCUUGCGUUCCUUCGCUUGCUUUUGUUUUUUUCUUUUUUAUGCCUUCCCUUGGUGCUUCCAAGUUUAAGCAUCAUGUGUUUGACAAAUUGUUUCACCCAUUAGGAUGAUGGGGUUGGUGUCUAGGAUUCUAGGUCAGGGUGGUCAUUCUUUGAUAACUGGCUAUGUUUUGCCCUAUUGUUUCAGGGACGUGUUGUUUUUAGCAACGGAUUGGCCCAACCAAACUGGCCAUUUUGUUAGAGUGGGCAGGAUUUCGGUUUUGGUCCCUUCUAGUUGAGGUCAGGAUCUUCAAGCAUUCAUUGUUGGGAAAGCAUUAUAUGCUGGGUUGGUUUUGUGAACUAAUGCUGACCGUCAUGUGUUGGAUGAUUUUUCCCCUGCGUUCCAAGGGUUUGUGUAGAUUGUUUUGGAGCAUCAUUUGUUUGAUGAAAUGUUUCUUCGGUUAAAAUAGUUAAUUAUUUUUUGUUCGUUGCUGAAGUUUGGGUUCAGUAUGGAUAUGGCUUAUAUUUGGCUUCCUGGGUUGAGCCUUGGCUCGGUACAUGGAGCCAUGUGCUGGCGUGGAGGAUAUUGAGAGGAACCAACCUUAUCUUGCUGAGCUGAGCCUUGUGCUAGUUCGUGGUGACUGAGAAAGACUAAUUAGGCAUUUGACAUUGUGGGAUGUUUGUGCCAACUAUUUCUCCUUUCCUUAGAUAGUAGUUUGAAAACAGCAAUUUUACCUUUGGUUUAAUGUGGGCAUUGGCCAGUUAAGAAUGAGGUAACUCUUAUAAUUAAUUAGUCGUUUUAGCUACUUAAGGUUGUUUUAUUGUGAAUUCUUGAUGGGCAACAAGUAUAAAUGUGCUAUUCUUCUGAUCUCAUAUCAAUUUUUUCCUCUUGUAGUUUGGAUGGCCAGUACUUUAGACUGACAAUUGCUGCAGGAAUCUAACAUUUGCCUUCUAUUUAUGCUUGGAGUAUGCAGCGAUCUAUGGGUUUUUCCCUAAAUUCCAUAUGAGAGACUUUUUUCCCCAAUGAUUAGUUCUGCAUUCAUAUUUUCCCUUUUAGAUGCUCGAGUAUUUUAGAUUUAUAAUACAGUCUGUGUUAUUUUCUAUUUUGGUUGUUUAAUGUUUUUCUUUUUAAAAUUUUGCGUGGUAUUUCCAUUCAUUCAAUAAGCAAAAUGAGAGAGAACUAUGGACAUCCCUUCAUAAAUCAGAGCUGGAGAAGAAUCAUAAAACUUUUUUAUUUGAAAAGUGAGGUUGGAAUUGUAAUUCUAAACUCAUUUUUUAUAAAUGAAAGUUUAUGAAAGUUUAAGAUUAGAAAGUUUGAAAAAGUACAUAAAGGUUAUAAUUCAUAAACUUUGAAAGUUGAAACAACAAUUCAGAUUAAUUGUCAUUAUUUUUCUAAUCUUAUCAUAUAGCACAUAAAAUGGCUGCCAACUAAAUAGAGAUACAUGAUAACCUCUUCAUCAUUAUAUUCCCAAAUUCUUUGUUUUUCACCUAAACAAACUCCAACGCAUAGCAUGGCAGCUUUUGCUAGUUGUACAAUAUGCACUCAAACAAGUGUGUAUGUGUGUAUUUAAUUUUAAAUUUCUAUUUUUAUUUCUGAAUUAUAAUGAAUUAAUUUUAAUUUUUAAUUAUUUAUAUAUCAUUUAUAUUGAAAAUUUUUUAAAAAAUAUCAACUGCAUAAAUGCCUGCAUAUUGCAGAUGCUUUUUAGGGCGCUGCUUAUUUACAACUUGCGCUUUUUUUCCUUGAAAAAUAUCAUUUAUGAGUAUGAGUUUGCAAAGUGCUAGUUUAGAAAAGAAAUGUUCAUUAAGUAUCAUGAAGAGGUUUUUUGGUUGGAUAGUAUCCUUGUUCAUAAAACUGGAUAUUGAAGUCAGUUGCUGAUAAAUUGGGUUCUGGUGGAUGUCUAUUGGCAAACCUCUUCUCUGAAUACACUCUAUCUUGUAUCCUCAUCUUGUGAACAUCUACAAGAAAGUGGAGGGUUAGAAAUAUCAUGUAUCCUCCAAGCAAGCUGCAAAAUUUGCUUACACAAGGCCUUGUCAUGGGUUAUAAGUGCUUGAACUUCUUCAUCUACGAUACUUGUAUUUUCUUCCCUCUAUAUAUUUGUACUUGAGGAUAAUCUUCUUACACUUGAAGAUCAUGCUUGCAUUGUUUUAUGUAUGUUUGACAAACCAAAAAAGGAAUCAGAAACAUAAAAUAUUUCUUUGACUGAAAUCAUGAAAAACUACAAUAUUGUUUGCAUUAAAUUACAUAGCUAGAAACCUAAGAUCUAUAUAUUUUAGGAGCACUUUUCUUAUAUUUUUUCAUUUUAACAUCUCUAAUUGAGGAUUGACAUCUCUUUCAGGAUACCCAGUUUAUCAUUCCAUGUAUGAUGACUUUGUAUGGAUGGAGAAAUUUGGAGAUCCUAUGUUCCAUAGGCAUGUAGCAGGUACUCCAUGCAAUUUCACUUCAGUACAGACCGUUCUGAAAAAUUCCAGCGUCACCUUUGGGGAUGUUUAGUUGCCCCAUUGUGCCAUACAAGAAGCAUCAGUCUUAUAUUAAAAAAAUUAGUUGUCAUCCUAGCCCAAGUAAUGACAAAUUGAUUCCUGUUUUUUUUUUUCAGUAGAAUUCCCGGUCCUUUCAUUGGCUGCCAUUUCCUGUUAAACCUUGACCUAAUUUUGUUUAACAUUUACCCCCUGAUAUACAGUCAGGCUUGCUCUUUUACACACAGCUAUGCCUGUUUUGCACACAUUUAUACAUGGGCCAGGGACAAAAAGGAAAAUGGCCAGCAAAACUAAGAGCGAGAAAUAAAACAGGCAGUCAACAAGGCCUAAGCCCUAAAUGGAAGUCUCCAAGGUCUGGGAAUUAAUUUCCCCAAAAUUCAGAUACCCUCCAACUUCUCAUCCCAGACAUCCAAAGUCCAAACACUGUACAAUUGUUCUCUGCAAGGAUGUACCCCCAUGAGGUCCAUAUGUAUGCUUUCUUUGGGGACCUUCUAAUUGACCUUUUGAUUUGAAUUCCAGCUCUUUUACUAUACGUGUAUGAGAGGUCUGACUUCUGAGCUACUUCAGAAGCUACUAUGUAUAUGGCCAUUAUGCUAAUAUCGGUUUUGGUUGGAAUCCAUCUUUGUGAGGUUUUAAUUGUACUAAAUGUUGCAAAACCAGACUGUCAGAACUCAGAAGUAUUAGAGCACCCUUUCCUGGUCUAGCAAUUAUAUGGUGAUGUAUUCCUAAUUCUGUUUCACAUUAGUCCAGCAUCUUGUGGAAUUUAGGUUUCUUGCUUUUGUUAUAAUAUUUAAAAACUAAUUUUAUAUACCUGAAGCUUUGCUAAUGUUGCUGUGAUGGAAACAAAAAACCAUCAUUUUUUCCUACUCCACCUCUUUUACCACCAGUUAUUUAUGACAAUGGCAGAAUCAAAGUGUUUGUGGAUCUUGUUAUUAACUGUUCCAUAUGAAGUAUUGGCACAUGCUAAGUUCAAGGUCAUGAGAAGAUUCAUUUUGAUUCCUUAUCUCUUCAAUCUCAUAUAGUGGCAAGCUUCUGGGGACUGGUUGCUUUGAGGCUUGCAGAUGAGGAGUUCUUGCCAUUCAAUUACAUCUCCUAUGCUUCAGAGCUCCAGGUAUAAUUUUCUCCUGUAACUCACAACGUACAGAUAUUCAUGCAGAUAUGCAGAACAAUCUGAACGUACUGAGAUCAAUAUGUGUGUCAAUUGGUGUAUGUCUGCAAUAUAUUCCUUUCUUCUGGGACAACACUUCUCCUGGCAUUCUGUUGCUUCGACAUACAUUUAUGGAAACACGACAUGGGGAUCAAGUGCUUAUUUGCAGGCUUCAGCAAUAUAAAGGACUUGCAUAUUUACCAACAUGAUUGGAGUGCAUGCCACAUAUGAACACCUAAAUUCAUGCAUAAUUGGGUAGCUGAAGAAUCUGACGGUGCCUUUUAUUGACAGAGAAGCGCAAAGAUAUUAGAAGAUGAUGCAUUGGGGAUGCCUGUAACUUUUGCUCCCUUAUACAAGUCUAUAAAAGAGCUCAAGAAGGCAGCCACCGAAAUAGACAACCAAAGAAAGGUAUCCUUAAAUCAAAAGAAGAUUGAAUUGAAAUCAUCGAUGUUUUUAAUUAACAGUCUUGUUGCAUUUUUAGGCACUAGAAAGGAAUUUUUUGUCAUUGAAUUGGAGGAAGGAUCCUUUGAAAGUCAGAGAGCUCAAUGAUAGGUUGAUGAUGGCUGAGCGGGCAUUUACUGAUAGGGAUGGACUUUUUGGUAGAGAAUGGUACAAGCACCUGGUAGGUUUUUACGUUUAGAAUAUAUAUUUUGCAUAAAUAUUGUAAACUUCAAACACAUCUCAUAUUUUACAGUACUAAUUUUCCUGCUGUGAAAAUAAUUUUAACAGAUUUAUGGACCUUCGACGCACGAUAGUUAUGGAUCUAAAUCAUAUCCAGGCAUUGAUGAUGCCAUUGAGAAGGCAAAGAGCUCGAACACUUCGGACUCAUGGAGUUUUGUACAGCAUGAAGUGUGGAGGGCUGCCAGGGCUGUGACCCAAGCAGCUUUAGUCUUGAACGGGAAAUUCACAUGAAUGUUCACAAAUCCAUCUAAAUGGUGUUCAAAGCUUUUGUACAGAUUCAUUAGCUGAACAAUCAUGUGAAUUACUAGGAAAUAAAUGCAACCAAUUUGUACAGCUAAUGUUAACAAAUUGUGGUAAGAAUCUAAUAUUGCUCUUUGUUUGUAUAUCUUGAGCAAAUACUUUUUAAGGGUAUCCUUACAGCUUGGACUAUCAUAUCAUGGUAAGAAUCAAAUUCUGCGGUUCCUUUUAUUUCUUGAGCAAAUAAUUUAUAAAGAUAUAAUUAUAUCAUUCUUUUCCACUUCUGGUGCUAUUGUGCUGUUACAAGAAACAUGAAUGAGACCUCGUGAAAUCAGUUUGACGAUCUUCUCGGUUCUUCAAAAUGGAGUUCAUGCAAGGGUAUCCUUACAGCUUGGAGCCUUGGACUACCAUGGCAUGGUAAGGAUCAACUUCAACGGUUUGUUUCACUUCUUGAGCAAAUAAUUAAAGAUGUAAUUGUAUCAUGCUUUUCCACUUGCAUUGUUAUUGUGCUGUUAGGAUGAACAUGAAUUAAGCAAUUCAAUCUCAAAAGCCAUCACAUGGUCUCGCAAGCAUAUUCGCUUAUUGAGUACUGAACUAAGUCACCCGAUGAGGGGAUAAAGGACUUAGGUUUCGUUUGGCAGAGCUUUUAGUGGACCGAAAAGCACUUCUGAUCCUUCAAAAGUACUUUUGGAUGGAAUAAAGAUGUUUGGUAAAAGAAUCAGAAAGCUGUUUUAGUUUUCCAGAAAUCUAAAAUAGCUUCUUGGGAGAACCUUCAAAAUGGAGCUUUUUCGGAAAAGCAUUUUUAGCAUGCGUUGGAAAAUUAUUUUGAUUUAUAAUUUUUUUCUUUUGGACCAAAAUACCAAUAAUAAAAUAUUAUAGUUACAGAAAAUGUCUCUUUAUAUUAUAAAAAUUUGCAAGAGUCCCAACAAAAAAAAUGAAAAGCCUAAAAAUUAGUUCAUAAAAAUAUUAUAUUAAUAAAAUAUUAACAUAUAAUGGUAAUAAUUAUAAUAUUUUAUAUUUUUAUUAUUGUAUUAUACUAUAAAUAUAAUAUUAUAUUACAUUAUAUCAUAAUACAUUGUUAUGUUAUGUUAUAUAAUAUCAAAUUAUGUUAUAUUAUUAUGCUAUAGUAUACAAUAUUAUAUUACUAUAUUAUAAUAAUAUUAUAAUAUAUUAAGUAAUAUUAUACUAUAUCAUAUAUUUAUGUAUUAAUAUAUAUUUAUUUUAUGAUGCUUUGUUGUAUAAUACUACACAAUGUUAUUUACGAUCAAUUUAUCAUACAAAAAGUACUUUCUCAGUUUGUUUACUAAACACAUAUUAAAGUUUCAUGGCAUUUUAGAAAUGUAGUUACCAAAUAGCUUUUUAUAAAAAUUCUACUUUCGAAAGUUCUACUGCCAACAGUUUUGUGAAAUGGAGCCUUAAACUCAAACCUCUUUUGGUUUUUUACUUUUUGCUUGCUCCCCCCAUGUAUUUGUAACCAUUCCUGCAAUGCGUCUAUCUACAAAUAAUAACUGAAGUUUCCUUAAGGUCCUUAGUGUUAUGUUACCAGUUAAUUACUUAAUUCACACUUUUGUGGCGUUAGUGUUCUCCCAGGUACAAUCGCAGAUGCCCAGAACGAUGGCUCGUCAACAGGGGAAUUUCCUGUGACACUGAAUGUAAUAUGAAUUUGCUUUCGCUAAGCCUGGAGGAAUUGGGACUGUUUCUUGCGGAAGUUUUAUCAUUGCUUCCAGCUCGGAUUGUGCCUUUGAGAUUCUCAUCCCGGUUUUAUGUGCCUCAAAAUCCCGUCAUCCAAAGAUUUAUCCGGGAAAACCCUUUCUCCUUAAAAAACUCCAAUUCAGUCUACAAGCAUCUAGGAGAUACUGAUGGGUAGAAGUCCCCAGAUAGCUCUCCUUGUUAUUCUUAUAAUGCUGUGGUGUAGAAGAUCUCCAUGGCCUGGACUGAGCAUCUCAUGCUUCCGAACAGCCGAACAUUCUCCAUAACGUUACCAACAGAAGUAGACAUUAUUCUUGUACACCUACACAUGUAUGGUCAUCCUAAUUAGUGCCUAAAAUAGUUCUCUUUGCACGCACACAGUCACACACGUGGGACACCUUGGGAUUGAAAUCUUAAUGAUAUUUUCAGCAAUUUCUCCAUCUCCUUGGAUUGUUCCACCGAGCCACUGGGUUUCAGGCGUGCGUUAAAAGGCCUGGAGGACGUGUUCGCAUGUAUGUUGGGGUUCACUACCACACAAACGUAAAGAACGUUUUUGCUUUCAGGCAUGCACCGGGCAUGCGCAACUUCACUUGCGCAUCCAAGCUUGAAGUAGAUGCUGAUGCCGGGGAUCCUGUCGCUUCUGGUGUCGGGGCGCCGUCCGCCGGGGAGGCGAUCGUGACGGCCGUCAGGGAACGGGCGGCACCAGAGGAUUGGCAACGCGGUGAGGGGGCACUGCUCUGCCGGCUUGGGCCUGGUCCGGGGGUUCCUCCACCUGACGUACACAGUGAGUCCCAAGUACAAAUCAUAGAUUAUAGUAUGGGUGAUCGAUACUCUCUCCUCUUGAGAGAAUAUUAAAUAGAGCGGUCUUCCUAUUUAGCCACAUAUUCUAUAGUGCUUAUCUUAAAAAAGAAUCCAAAAAUCAGAUUGGGACAAAACUUCUAUUAUUAAUGGAGUCUGUCGGUUGCGUGACUCAAAAAAAGAAAAAAAAAAAGGAAAAUCACAUGCAUAAAGAGAGGUAGUUCGCUCUCAUCCUCUCUUCUUCCUCAUCAAAGCCUCUAUCAAUCCAUCCUCUUUCUCAUCACGCCGUCUCUCUCAUCCGUGAAACCUUCCUUCUCCUCCUCGUAUUUCUUUCCUUCAAAUCUCUCUUUUUCAGGAUCAAAGAAUUAUAGUAUGUAUUAGAAAAUUGUUGAGUAUGUAUCAACUGGCUAUGUACUGUAUACUGGUGAACAUUAUAUUCUGUAAACUACAUAUCAAUUUAUCUAGAGGUGUGUGUUGGGAUGCUAUAUGGCUAUUUUGCAAGCUAGGUGUGUCACCUGGCCAUGUAGUGUGGACUAGUGAACAUCUUGUUAUGGGCACUAUGUAUCAAUUUGCAUUGAGAUGUGUAUUAAUAUAUUGUGAUUAUGUUGCUAGUUAUAUAUCAUCUGACUAUGUACCAUAUACUGGCGAACAUCAUGUUUUGAGACUGUAUAUCAAGUUGCCUAAAGAUAUGUAUUGGAUUGCUACUGAGUGUAUAUUAAAAAAGCUUACAAUAUGUAUCUAGAAGCCGAUGAAUAUGUAUCAUUUAACCAUGUACUAUGUAUUGUUGAACAUCAUAUUAUAAAAAUUGUGCAUUGAUUUACCUAUGCGGUCAUAUUAAGAUGUUGAAUGACUAUUUUGUUAGGUAUGUAUCAUCUAGCAAUGUGGUGUAUAUACUGAUGAACACUAUGUUUUGGAAACUAUAUAUCAAUUUAUUCAGAUAUAUGUAUUGGAAUGCUAGAUUACUAUUUUGCUAGGUGUGUAUCAUCAGAUAAUAUAAUAUAUACUGAAGAACAUCAUGAUUUAGAAACAGUAUAUCAAUUUACUUGGAGGUGUGUAUUAGGAUGCUGGAUGACUAUUUUGCUAGAUGUGUAUCACCUGAUCAUGUAUUGUGUACUGCUGAACACCAUAUUUUGGACACCUUCACAAAUAAGAAGAUUUGUAGAAGGAGAAAGGACUCGGCCAUCACCAGAUCUGCCACCGCCGACUUCUGGCCUUCACCAUCCUUCUUGUUCUCCACCUCGCUAUCUCUCCUCCCUUCCACCUACCACUCCCUCUUCCUCUAUUUCUCCAACAACGCCACCGUCGCCCGCCACCUCAUCGCCCUCACCCGCCGCCCCCACGUCGCCGGAACCCCGGCAAACGCCGCUGUCGCCGCCUACGUCCUCAGCACUCUCUCCUCCUCCUCCCUUCCCGCCCACUCUGUCUUAUACGACGUCUUCCUCACCUACCCCCUCGGCCGCUCCUCUUCCCGCCGACCCUCGCCUUCGACCUCGUCCAGGAGAUCUACCCCGGCGACCCCUAGCCGACGUGGCGAAGGAGGUGCUCCCCACCUUCCACGCCUACGCCUGCUCCGGCGCCGCCGCCGGCCCGGCUGCCUAUGCCAACUACGGCCGCCUGGAGGACUUUGCCGCCCUGAGGGCCGCGGGUGUGAACGUCACCGGCGCGGUGGUCCUCGCGAGGUACGGUAAGAUAUAUCGCGGGGACAUCAUAAAGAACGCGAAGGACGCCGGGGCGGCGGCGGCAGUGGUGUUCACCGACGCCAAGGACUACGGCGGCGGCGGGAGGGGCGGUUCCCGGAGGGACCGGGGAUGCCGGCGAGCGGUGUGCAGGUGGGGACCACGUCCGGGGUUGGCGACCCGACGACGCCCGGGUGGGCGAGCCCCGCGGGUGUGAGCGGUGGAGCGCUGCGGAGGUGGCGGCGAGCGGGCUGCCGGGGAUCCCAUCGUGCCGGUGUCGGCCCGGGACGGGGAGGCGAUCCUGAAAACCAUCGGGGGACAGGUGGCGGCCGAUGAUUGGCAGGGCGGCGAGGGGCGCCCCUGUACCGGCUCGGGCCGGGUCCUGGUUUCCUCAACCUCACAUACAUUGGAGAUGAAACAUUGCCAACAAUCCAAAAUGUCUUUGCGGUGAUCCAGGGGGAGGAAGAACCUGACCGGUAUGUUCUCCUAGGUAAUCAUCAGGUUGAUAGGAUCGACANNNNNNNNNNNNNNNNNNNNNNNNNNNNNNNNNNNNNNNNNNNNNNNNNNNNNNNNNNNNNNNNNNNNNNNNNNNNNNNNNNNNNNNNNNNNNNNNNNNNNNNNNNNNNNNNNNNNNNNNNNNNNNNNNNNNNNNNNNNNNNNNNNNNNNNNNNNNNNNNNNNNNNNNNNNNNNNNNNNNNNNNNNNNNNNNNNNNNNNNNNNNNNNNNNNNNNNNNNNNNNNNNNNNNNNNNNNNNNNNNNNNNNNNNNNNNNNNNNNNNNNNNNNNNNNNNNNNNNNNNNNNNNNNNNNNNNNNNNNNNNNNNNNNNNNNNNNNNNNNNNNNNNNNNNNNNNNNNNNNNNNNNNNNNNNNNNNNNNNNNNNNNNNNNNNNNNNNNNNNNNNNNNNNNNNNNNNNNNNNNNNNNNNNNNNNNNNNNNNNNNNNNNNNNNNNNNNNNNNNNNNNNNNNNNNNNNNNNNNNNNNNNNNNNNNNNNNNNNNNNNNNNNNNNNNNNNNNNNNNNNNNNNNNNNNNNNNNNNNNNNNNNNNNNNNNNNNNNNNNNNNNNNNNNNNNNNNNNNNNNNNNNNNNNNNNNNNNNNNNNNNNNNNNNNNNNNNNNNNNNNNNNNNNNNNNNNNNNNNNNNNNNNNNNNNNNNNNNNNNNNNNNNNNNNNNNNNNNNNNNNNNNNNNNNNNNNNNNNNNNNNNNNNNNNNNNNNNNNNNNNNNNNNNNNNNNNNNNNNNNNNNNNNNNNNNNNNNNNNNNNNNNNNNNNNNNNNNNNNNNNNNNNNNNNNNNNNNNNNNNNNNNNNNNNNNNNNNNNNNNNNNNNNNNNNNNNNNNNNNNNNNNNNNNNNNNNNNNNNNNNNNNNNNNNNNNNNNNNNNNNNNNNNNNNNNNNNNNNNNNNNNNNNNNNNNNNNNNNNNNNNNNNNNNNNNNNNNNNNNNNNNNNNNNNNNNNNNNNNNNNNNNNNNNNNNNNNNNNNNNNNNNNNNNNNNNNNNNNNNNNNNNNNNNNNNNNNNNNNNNNNNNNNNNNNNNNNNNNNNNNNNNNNNNNNNNNNNNNNNNNNNNNNNNNNNNNNNNNNNNNNNNNNNNNNNNNNNNNNNNNNNNNNNNNNNNNNNNNNNNNNNNNNNNNNNNNNNNNNNNNNNNNNNNNNNNNNNNNNNNNNNNNNNNNNNNNNNNNNNNNNNNNNNNNNNNNNNNNNNNNNNNNNNNNNNNNNNNNNNNNNNNNNNNNNNNNNNNNNNNNNNNNNNNNNNNNNNNNNNNNNNNNNNNNNNNNNNNNNNNNNNNNNNNNNNNNNNNNNNNNNNNNNNNNNNNNNNNNNNNNNNNNNNNNNNNNNNNNNNNNNNNNNNNNNNNNNNNNNNNNNNNNNNNNNNNNNNNNNNNNNNNNNNNNNNNNNNNNNNNNNNNNNNNNNNNNNNNNNNNNNNNNNNNNNNNNNNNNNNNNNNNNNNNNNNNNNNNNNNNNNNNNNNNNNNNNNNNNNNNNNNNNNNNNNNNNNUAUACCACAAAUCAUUUCCACCGGAUCUAAACCGGUUCUCCUGUCCGCUGGCCGCUUAGAGAGAUACAACCCCUAUCUUAAUUUAACACUCCCAUGGGUCGCCGUGCAUUCCAUCAAAACUGGCAAGAAAUCCAAUUAGAGAACUGUUUUGGAAUAAGUGUUACUUCUUUCCCAAAAUAUACGACAAGUCAUUUCCACCGUAUCUAAACCGGCUCUCCGGUCCGCUGGAAAGAGGCAGCCCUACGGGAACGAGUAUCCGACCGUCGAAGAAUUCGAAAUUUGAACCGUCGUCUCAAGCGAAUAAAAACCCUCCCCAACGGUCACUUUUCCUCGACUCCCUUGAGAAGGAAGACGAAGAGCAGUCAGUUUCCCGGUGGAUAUUUUCUUGCAAGGGAAGAAGGAGAGAUUUUUUUUUGGUGGAUUAAAAGGAGAGAUUUUUCAGUGGAAGAAUAAUCGAGGAAGAAGAAGGAUCUCCUAUUGAUUUCUCCAAGAAAUCUCUCUCUCCAAAUUCGCGAUUUGGCAUCGUCAAUCCCACCCCUUCUGGUAAAUUUCUUGUGGCCUUUUAGGUUUUUAGUCCGCCCUUCGUUUCAUUUCUCAUGGCAAUAUUUUGUCCGUAUGAUUCGAUUGUGGGAUUCUUUAGAUAUUCUCUGUACCUUUUCUUUUUGCUUUUUCUUCUUUUUGAUUGCCCUUUUUUGGUUUAUUCUUAUCUUUUUUUCUCAGCAAUUUUUUUUGGGGAUUCUUUAGCUGUUCUCUUGUAGCUUUUUUGCCAUUUUCUUAUCAAUUCUGGUUCCAGAUUCCCAAAGAAGAAACAUGGAAUUUACCCAAGACGCCGAUGAGAACAGUGGGCGUUUUCACAAAGUUAUGGGGCCAAGAUCACAGAAUCCGGGGAAAGGAACCAAGAACUCCAACCCUUCAACCACAUCAGCAAUUUCAAAGAAGAAGAUCUUGGCCGAGAAGAAUGAUUCUCUUCUCUCAGAUUCUUAUGAUCUCUACGACGACAUAACCUCACAAGAAAAUGCCGUGGUGGUUUCGGGCCAUCCUGGUGCCCAUUCUCGAGUCAUGCCCCUUUGUUCGAAGGUCUUCAAGUCUGGUGAUCAAAAUGCAAUCAGCUCUGAUUGUUCUCAUUUGGCUCCUUAUGAUCCGCUGAUCAAUUACACAUCCCCUAGGCCAGAGUUCCUCCGCUACAACCCAAACAGGUGUAAAGAAAUUCUUCAGCGCAUUGAGGGAGAGAUGAAGAAAGAAGAAGAGGGAUCAGAGGCCGACUGGAGCUCUUCAUCUGAUUCCAAGAAGAUUCUUCAGGGCAUAGAGGGAGAGAUGAAGAAAGAAGAAGAGGGAUCAGAGGCAGACUGGAGCUCUUCAUCUGAUUCCAAGAAGAUUGCCGCAGAGGAAUCGUCAUCAGUGUCUUCCACACCUUUGCAGACAUCCUUCCAAGAUAAAGAUGUUGGAGACGGUGAGGAAGGUAUUAGUGAUGCCCAGGACGACGAUGACACAGAAGAGGAGGAGGUGGAAGUGACGCAUUGGUAUUGUAGAAUUGCGUGGAGGCUGUUUCUUCUACUUGGGGUUUUGCUGCCCUCUUUCUUUUAUAUAUAUUUUUUGAAUUAUGCUUCUGUUCCUACUUUAAAAGAAUAUGGAGGCCUUGAAGAAACUCAUCAGAUGAUUCGAUAUGGAGGGCUUGAUCAACGAACCCAUAAUGGGAAUAAAUUUCCUGGAAAUUUCUGGGGGAUUUUAAUGGGAUUGUCAAAUGAGUGCUUUGACAUACAUUCCAGGGAAUUAUCAUGUCCGCUUGACGGCUUUAAAAGGGAAGUCCCAGAGGAGAAGGAUUUGGAAGAAGGAAUAUCAAUUAUCCAUCUCAGAAAUUUAACUGAAGAUGAACAGUUGAAUGAAAAAUUUCUAACGUUGGAGGAUACUGCUAGAAAGGAUGCGUCUGAGGAGAAGCAAUCCUUUGAUGGAAAUGGAACUGAACUAAUAACAGAAAGAUAUAGAGAUACAUUGCUUGAGAAUGGGACAUUAGGUGGUGUUGACUUAGUGGCUGAAGAAAUGAGUGAGGAGGUAGGUAGUUCUAAUGAGCUUGAGCAGGAACCAUAUAUUGAAGGAAACCCUGAGGCAGUUAAAGGUGCAGGGAGUGAAAAAGUUGAGAUUUUGGAAGCUGAGUCGGCAGAGGUACACAAUAUUGCUCAGCUUUUGAAAGAAUCUUCACAAGUUUCAGAGACCGAAUUGCUUUCAAUUGACUCGUCAUUUGGUCAAGAUGCACUCAAUGGAUGUGGUUCUUUUGAACCAAUGAAAGAUUUUGGAGAGGAAGCACAAAUUAUGGGCAAUUCUGGUUUUGAUGAAUCUUUGCAGAUUCCUCAGUCCAAGAUUGUUCCGAGCACAUCAUCCAAUAAUCAGAAGCUAGAAGAAUAUGAAAUCUUCAGUAAUUCUGAUAUAAAAUUGAAAUGGGACAGCAUUUAUCUGUCUGCAUCAAAGUAUGUGCUGCAACUGCUAUAUAUUUUGAUAUGUUUGUCAACAAUAAUUGUUUUUAAUGGAUUGCACAAAUACUUCUUAAAAUUUCACAAGAUCUCACCACCUGAAUCCCGCAUUCCUCCUGCACUCAAACCAGCUUAUGAGUUAGCACUUGAGAAGAAAAGUAGUUCAGUUGUGUCUGCGAAGAAAGAAGUGGAGAACAAGGGUAGUGAUUCAGAUGUUUAUCAGAUGCCUCUGACUCAUUCGAAUGAUGAACAAAUGAAGUUUAAAGGAGUUCAACCACCAGCAGUGGAAUUGCUUUCAGAGUUCUCAGUUGUAGAAGGAACUAUCUCUGGGAAAGGUUCUCGUCAGAAAGUGAGAAUGUUAGCUGCCUCAGCUGCAGAAUCACAGUUCUUUCAAUCUCAAAGGAAGAUUUCAGUGAAGAAGACCCUUCCAUCUUCAGCUAAUAAGGUUUAUCCAUCUCCUUUAGAGUUUUCUUCAUUAGCAACAGAGUCCACCUCAACUGGAAAUUCUACAGUUCGGAAGCUGCAAAAGAAAAAGGUAUUGCAUAGUUGAUAAUUAGCAAGGCAUUUGAUUGAUUGCAUAUUCAGAUAUUCAAUAGGUUCCGAGACUAAUACAGAGACUGUUUGUUACUCAGUUAACAGUUACAUGGAUCAUGCACAGAUAUUCAAUAGCAUAAUCAUAAUCAUGCAUCCUAAAGGUAGUCAAUAUGGAAAUAAGAGACCUUGUUAUAUUGGAAUCAGAGGUAGAUCAAGAUUGAAAAUGCUAAUCUAAGUGCACACUGGGCUGCUUCUCAGCGGUUGCAACUCUCCAUUAGAGAGGAGGUUCCAUGUUUGGACCUUAGGAGUUGUUUUGCCGUGUGUGUUUUGUGCGGGCUAUCCUUGCAUCAUUUCUUUCAAAUGAUUGGUGGUGUUCCCAGCAAUACCCUUAAAAAAGGGGAAAAAAUAAAAAGCUAAACUUAGGUCAAAGUAAAUUUUUUCUUAGCAUAAUCUUUCCCAUUAACUUUAUGAUAAACAACCACAUAUCUUGAACAUAGUGAAUAUGGGUAUAUAUGGAAAUGCUCGAGGCUUGUCAUAGUUGAGAUUAUUGAAUAGAGAUGAGGAUGGAAAUAAAACUCAGAAAAAGUACACAUGUGAAACAUGAUUGUGCUUUUGUUAAAUAAUUUGAAUUUUCUUUUUGUAGUAGAAAUUCAAGAUGCGCUAUAUGUUAAUGUGUUUGGGUAAUCUAGUUGGAUUGGGCUAGAUUUCUUGCUGGAUUCACAGAUUGGACAGCCAAUUUGAGCAUGGCCCAUGUCAACUACACCCUCCUAGCUUUAAUCCUGUGGAAGGAAUAAAAAGACCUCCAUGGGCCCUUUUUUCGUUUCUACAGACCAACAGGCCCAUGGUCUGGGUCAUAGACUGAGACGUGGGCUUUGAAGAUUGGGGCUGGGCAGGCUGACCGAUUCUUGCAGGGCAUCCUGCUGAAAUACCUAACAGACCCUUAGUGUAUAACCCCUUCGGACCUAUGGGAUUGGGGAAUAUUUGUGUCUGAAACCUUGAUUCUGACCUAUGGAAUAGUGGGGACUGAACUGCUUGCUAACUUUAUUCAGUAUUUCAAUCCACUAACUUAAAAAUGAUGAAUGGUGAAACUCAAUAUCUGAAUAUUAAUCAAGAUAGAUGCACAAGUCUUUGUUUUAAAAAAAAUUAUCCCAUAGUUGGUCUUUCAGAUUUUUUUAGAAAACUUGUGAUUGAGCAGGAAUAAGUAUAACCAUAUGCAUGUAUACAAUGCUAGAUGCACAUAUUUUCAUGAAUAGGAACAACAAUUAGCAAUCUCCCGUAGAAUUUAUGUGGCAGCUCUUGAAAAUGAGUUUUUGAUUGUUUAGACUUUGAGGGUACAUUCAUUAUAUCCGGUGGUUAAAAAUGCCUUCUUUGAAGAAGCCCAUCUUUCUUUCCAAUUAAACUACAGAAACUUAAUCCCUGAUCCUUCAUUUAUCUCCCAUUUCAUUUUUGGCAUGACAAGUUUCAAUGUGUAUGUGCAUUUUGAAACAUGUUACAAAAUGUUCUAUCUGCAAAAUUAUUCUGCCUUUCUCUCAGGAGUCAAGAGUUUGUCUGGAAAUAUGCUUGGGAGUGAAUUAUGCAUCAAUCUAGGUAGUCCUAAGAUGCUACGUUAAUGAUUCUGUGUGAACUCUGGUGGGGACACAGACCACCAUUUACAGCACGUUUACAAGCAUCGCCGGCGUGCAUAGCACUUUGGUCCAUAUGCAGGGGCCCUAGUGUUAUUUUCUUAUGUAUUUUCUUUUAUUUAUUAUGCAUUUUCGUCCUUAUGUUAGUUGCUAUUUUUAGCUGACUUGUUAUGGCUGCCUAGUGUUAUUUUCUUAUGUAUUUUUUCUUUUAUUUAUUAUGCACUUCCGUCCUUAUGCUAGUUGCUAUUUUUAGCUGACUUGUUAUGGCUGUGUUUAGUUAUUUAAGUAUCCCAUGUUGUUUGUUAGAUCAUGGGUAGUUACAUGAUCACUUGUUGGGAUCAUGGGUAGUUGCAUAGGGGGCUAUAUAUGGAACUCCAUGUCACUUGUUUAGUCAGAAUAUUUGGAAUGAAAAUAUUAUUUUGGCAAAGGUACUCCCGGAUUGGAGACCACUAGAGGAGGAUUCCUCGAAUCUGGUGGACUCCAGAUCUUCCCCCUUCCUUCUCUUCGUUUUUAGAAAUUUCUGUUCCGCAUCAGUUUGGUAUUAGAGCCAGCCAGGGCUUUGCCUCUAUGCUAAAGCCUUGAUCCUAUCUCCCUGAACCCCUCUCGGUUCACCCAUACCCGUCCUCAACCCAAAGAUCUGGUGCAUGGACAGGCUGCCUCUAUUUCGUAUGCCGCACAAGUUCUUCACGAAAUACUUUGCACCAUGGAUGCCGGAGCGUGAUGAGCACCGAUGACCAGCGCACAUUACGAAGAAAAAGGAGAGUCUUUCGUCCCUGUUCCCCUCCCUCUCAAUCAGUUUUCACCAGAACGAGUAAGGGGAGGUUGCUUCUCCUCUAAUUUCACCAACCAAUCAGGAGCUCGUGACCAGCCGCCAUCUAUUGCCGCAGGCCAUAGAGUUCGCUCUGCAGCAGUAGCCACAGAGUUCAGAACCACCUCCCGAAACCGUCGGGAGGUUGAGGGAGCACCGGUUAAAGAAAAAGUCCCUCAACUGUCACCCAGUUCAUUAGCUCGGAUCUGUCUCAGAAAAAAUAAGAGAAAGAAAGAAAGAAAAAAAGAGGCUGCACGUGAGUUGCACGUGCCCCGUCCCACGUGAGGCACACAUGCUCCAUCGCACAUGAGUUGCACACGCUAGUCACAAAAAAAAGAAGAGGAAAUACCUCUUCGUCUGCCUCACGAUCGGCCGCCCGCAGAGCUGCUGCCGGCAGGAUGCUGCGCCCACCCUUCGCUGCCACCGCUCCGCCUCUCCUCUUCGCCGCCAGGCCGCCCUCGUCCACCGUCACCGCUCUCCUCUGCGACCGCCCACGCUGGCCCGAUCGUGAGACUGCCUGUUGAACGUCCGAUGGCACGUUGCUCCGACCUGAGCUAUGCAACAACGAGAUCUCCCUUGAUCCUUGCCGGAUGUGCUUGACGGUCCCCCAUAAUACGCCACCCGGUUGCGCUGCCAUCUCCUUCAUCUUCUCCACUGUCUCCACCCUCCACCGACCCUCGAGUUCACACCGCGUCCUUUUCCUUCAGCUCACCGAGACCCCUCUCCCUCCCGUCUCUAAUUCCUCAAUCCCUAAUCCCCUUUCUUCUUCUCCCUCCCAUCUCACCGAGACCGCUCUUCCUUCCGCGCCGCCACCUCCGACCUCUGUCGCCGCCUCCGCCCACGUCGUCUCGCCGCUUCCAUCACCUCUUAAAUUGAAGAUCUCCUCCCUCGGAUCUUUUCUUUCUCCCGCGUCUCCCUCAGACGUCUUUCUUCCGCUGCCAAGAAGGAUCCAAAGCUAAUCCAGAAGCUUCGUCUCCCUUCUAUAUCAACUCUCUCGGGCGAGCGGGCCAACCCCCUCAGCAUUUGGCCCGUUUCCACGUGGGCUCAAGUGGUUCUUUUGGCCCGUUGCUCCGUGGGCCCGGCUUUCAGGCCCUUACACUUAAUCCAGCCCCUGCAACGUGUUGGGCCUCCAUAAAGAUACCCGCAGUCAACCGUCUUCCAGCAGCAUCCUCCACAAAUCGUCUGACCCCGGUUCUGCGCUCCGCACUCUGACAACCAAUCUCUUCCAGUGAUCCAGAUCUGUAAGAAAAGAUCGUAUCUUUCCUUUAAAUAAUUUUUCAGCCUUUCCCUAUACAUUAGUUUAUAUGUAGAUUGCUAUUUCUUUUACUUCAUAUUGUCGGUUAGAUAUAGGACCUUAAUUUUAUAAGAGCUGUGCCCCUUGAAAACACAUAUUGAGCCUCACAAGUUAUUUUUUUCAAAUCCUCAAAAGGCAACUAGAAAAUUUACUUAAAUCUGGUGAAGCCCUAAUCAAUUUGAAGGACCCCACUUUCAUUUGGUUAACCUGUGAAGAUUUUGCAUGACCCAGGCCAAGGUUGGCAGUAUCUAAGGCCCUGAUAUUUAGUUAUCACCUGUGCUAAUUCGAAAGUAAUCGAGACUCUGUCAUAAGUCUUUUAUUCAAGAUUGUUGAUUUUAAUCUGAAUGUUAAUUUUUAUAUCUAGAAUUUUCGUAUUCUAGAGCAUGACAACUUGCAGCGGUACAUCCUACUCACAUGAGAUGUCAACCAACCUAAACUAACAGGUGUUAGAUGCCAUUGCGGCAUUAGAAACCAAAUUAGGAGCAAGAAUUACUGACCUUGAAACUAGGAUGAACACUCGCUUGACUUUGGCUGAAAAUUCAAUCACCAACCUCCAAGUUACUAACAACGAUGGAGAGACUGAACUUGGUGAGUUUGAGCUGCCCCGCCCAAGAAGCCAUGGGCAACAAUACCAGAGGGAUUAUCUAAGAGCACGUGAGGCACCAGAUGUAAUGCGCAGUAUUAAGAUAGAAGCACCAAGUUACGAUGGUCGUCUCGACCCAAAAGUCUUCAUUAACUGGUUCGCUGAUAUGGACCAUUACUUUGAAUGGUAUAGUCUAUCUGAAGAUCGCAGAGUUCGUUUUGCGAAAAUGAAGCUCACUGGUCCCGCAAAGUUACAUUGGAAUACAGUAGAGAACAUGCUUGCUAGAGCUAGGCAACCCCCUGUGGUACAAUGGGAUGAAAUGAAGGAGAAAUUAAAGAAAAAAUAUCUCCCCAUAUCCUAUAAGAGUCACCUAUUAGAUCAGUGGCAACGAUUGACUCAAGGGAACAAACCUGUGUCUGAAUACAUCGCUUGCUUUGAUGAGUUCUUGAUGCGAUGCAAUGCACGCGAGAGUAUGGAGUUGACCCUUUUUAAAUUUAGGUCCGGAUUGUGAGAUGACCUACAAAAAGAGCUUAUUCUACGCGAGGUCAAUUCUUUAGAACAUGCCUAUCAACUUGUCUAAGACAUCGUGCGUUACAAUAAUAAGCCAACCUUCAGGUGUUUUGAUCUUAAGGAGUCAAACCACAAGUUCACCUAUGGGAGUCAAAUUAACACUUGGGGUAAGCCCAAUAUUAGAAAUCAAGCGAUAGAGUCUCAAAAAUUUAAUGAUCAGAAAAUAAGAGAAUUUUCAUCGAAGAAGAACGUAAUGAUGAAGGAGAUGAGUUGGUCUAUGAGCCUGAGGUUGACCAUGAAGAUUCAGAUGAAGGUGAGGAGCUCGGCUCACUUGAGGGUUCCACUCCUUUAGGCGUAGUUAGGUGUGUCCUUACACAACCUAAGCAAGAGAUGAUGACUAGAGGCGCCGAUCCAUAUUUCAUACCUAUAUCAAAUGUGGCAAACAUAGCUGUAAAGUUAUCAUCGACAGUGGAAGUAGCGUCAAUGUUGUAUCCACACGAACCGUCAAGAAGCUACAGUUAAAGACAGUGCCUAAUCCUAAUCCUUAUAAUGUAUCUUGGAUGGAUAAAACCCCCAUACCAGUCACUGAGUGUUGUCUAGUCCAAAUCAACUUUUCUGAAUAUAACGAUAAGGUCUAGUGUGAUGUUAUUUCCAUGGAUAUUGAACACAUCAUCCUUGGUAGACUAUGGCUUUAUGAUUUGGAUGUGACCAUUUAUGGUGAAUCCAAUUUCUGUUCUUUUGUUUACCAAGGACAGAAAAUUCGUCUGAACCCUUUGCCUCCUAAGUCCUCUACUGCUGGAAAGAAGGAUGUGAAGGUUGAAAAGCGCUUUCAAAUUAUUACUCCUAAGGAGUUUGAGAAAGCAGCAACACAAGAAUCCUUAAUUCUUAUGUUAGUUUUCAAAGAAGUUGCUCCUGAUUUCCAAAUAGAAUUUUCGAAUGAAGUUCAUCAUGUUCUGGAAGAAUUUAAGAAUAUCUUCCCUGAGGACCUUCCUGAUGAGCUCCCUCCUCUGUGUGAUAUUCAGCACGCUAUAGACUUGGUCCCAGGGGCAACUCUUCCGAACUUGCCUCAUUAUAGACUUAACUUGAUUGAACACGCUGAAUUGAAACGACAAGUUGAUGAACUACUCCAAAAGGGGUUCAUUCGAGAGAGUCUUAGCCCAUGCGCGGUGCCUGCACUUCUGACGCCAAAAAAAGACGACACUUGGAGAAUGUGUGUGGAUAGCAGGGCAAUUAAUAAGGUAAUGGUUAAGUAUCGAUUUUCGAUACCACGAUUGGAUGACAUGCUUGACAUGAUAGUAGGUGCCACGAUCUUCUCCAAAAUUGAUCUUAAAAGUGAUUACCACCAAAUCUGUAUCCACCCUGGUGAUGAAUGGAAAACAGCUUUCAAAACCAAGGAUGGACUAUACGAGUGGCUAGUCAUGUCUUUUGGGUUGACAAAUACACCUAGCACAUUUAUGCGUAUCAUGACUCAAAGUGUUAAGACCUUUCAUGGAAAAAUUGCUUGUAGUCUAUUUUGAUGAUAUCUUAAUUUAUAACAAAAGCAAGGAACAACACCUUGAGCACCUACAUUUGGUCUACAACUCGCUUAGAAAAGAAAGCCCAUAUGUGAACCUUAAGAAAUGUUCAUUUAUGACUGAUCGUGUUAUCUUCUUAGGGUUUGUCGUAUCUUCCGAGGGGGUUUCAGCAGACCCACAAAAGGUCCAAGCGAUUCUUGAGUGGCCGAAACCUACUACAUUAUUUGAGGUGCGAAGCUUCCAUGGCUUAGCCACCUUUUAUAGGAGGUUUGUCAAGAAUUUUAGUAUGAUCACUGCACCGAUUACGGAUUGUAUCCGGAAAGGUGAAUUUCAUUGGACCGCCGCAGCCUCAAAAGGCAUUCCAGAUCAAGACCAGAAUGAUAGAAGCCCCGGUCAAACGCCUUCCAGAUUUUACUAAGGUUUUUGAAGUCUCUUGUGAUGCAUCUGGUAUAGGUAUAGGUGCUGUCUUAAGCCAAGAAAAACAUCAUAUCGCAUACUUCAGUGAGAAGCUGAAUGAUCCGAAACGGAAAUAUUCCACCUAUGACAAAGAAUUUUAUGUAAUUAUACAAGUGCUGCGUCACUAGCGUCACUAUUCGUUACCUCAAGAGUUCGUAUUAUAUUCUGAUUAUGAAGCUUUGAGGUACUUGAAUUUUCAGAAACGAUUGAGUUCACGACACGGAAAGUGGGAUGAAUUUCUUCAAGAAUACAUCUUCGUGUUAUGUCAUAAAGCAGAAAUUGACAACAAAACAGCUGAUGCCUUAAGCCGACAUGUAGCAUUACUUUUUUUAGUAAGCAUAAAGGUUACUGGAUUUGAGCAUAUGAUUGACGAUUAUGCAUCUUGUCCAGACUUCGCUGAGAUCUAUGCUAGCGUGUUAGAAGGUCGCACCAGGGACAAUAGUACUACCUUGUGGUAGAUGCUUUUCUGUUCAGAGGAAACAAGCUGUGUAUUCCUCAAAUGUCCCUUAGAGAUUUUUUUGUUUGGGAACUCCAUGCAGGAGGAAUAGCUGGAUAUUUUGGUAGAAAUAAGACCAUUGAUAUGGUCGAACAAAGAUUUUAUUGACCUAGUUUAAAAAGAAUGUUGCGAAAAUUGUUAGUCAGUGUCGUACUUGUCACUUAUCCAAACAGUAACAUGGCUUAUAUACCCCCUUCCUAUCCUUGAUCAUUCUUGGCAGAACAUUAGUAUGGAUUUCGUGCUAGGGCUACCAAAGACUAGAAGUAAGCAUGAUUCCAUUCUCGUGAUAGUGGAUCGGUUUUCUAAGAUGGCUCAUUUUCUAUCCAUUUUCAAAACUUCUGACGCCUCCAAAGUUGCGAGGAUAAUCUUUGACGAGGUAGUUAGGCUCCACAGGCUUCCAAAAUCGAUAGUGACUGAUAGAGAUGUCAAAUUUGUUAGUUAUUUUUGGAAGAUCCUUUGAAAUUUUAUGAGUACGAAGCUUAAAUAUUCCACAACAUAUCACCCCCAGACAGAUGGUCAAACUGAGGUGGUCAACCGUAGCCUAGAAAAUCUUCUAAGAUGUUUAGUGGGUGACCACCCGGGUAAUUAGGAUCUUCUCCUAUCCACGACUGAAUUUACCUACAAUAGCUCGGUGAACAGGACCUCUGGCUUGAGUCCUUUCGAAAUUGUUUUAGGCUAUGUUUUGCGAAAACCUGUUGAUCUUAUCCUAAUAGCACCUAACAACAGAAUCUUUGAAACCGCUGAGUCCUUUGCUCUUCCUCCUUAUGUUCUUACCACCCUCUGAGUCUCUGAAGAAUUGACAACUUUUUUUUGAGUGCAAAAUGCCUGACAUAUGGGGCCUUUCGGGGAUCGAACAUGAGCAACCUCCUUCCCAACACAUGCAAAACUUACAUAAAGAGAUUAAUAAGAAAAUUGAAAUCAAUAAUGCGAGAUAUAAAAUGGCCAUUGACUUGCGUCGCUGAUAUCAAGAAUUUCGAGUGGGUGAUGAUGUAAUGAUCGAAUCAGACCUGAACGGUUUCCACCAUGAGCCGUUAGAAAAUUGCACCCCGAAGUAUGGUCCAUACAAAAUUCUGAAACGGGUUAGAUAGAAUGCAUAUGUGGUGGAUAUUCCACGUGAUUUUGGAAUUAAUCCAGUUUUUAAUGUAUAAGACUUAGUUGCCUACGGCAAUCCGAUAACUAUUCCUGAAGAUCUAUUUACUGAGCCUGAUAUUGACCUCACAUCCAAUUUUGAAAACACAUCUCUUGCUCCUGCCUUGCCUUCUAUACUUUUUUUCUCCGCAGAUCAUAGACACAGUGGAACAUAUUUUGGACAAUCAGAUUGUUAGUAUGCAUAGCGGUGGUUAUCAGCGAUAUCUUGUCAGAUGGCAUGGUUGACCUCCGUUAGAUGAUACCUGGAUUAGCAGAGAUGAGCUUCAGCGACUUGCUUCUGACCUGUUGGAGCACUAUUAGAGAUCCGUUUCGUCAGGGGCGAAUUCUUCUCAGCUGAGAAAAGUUGGUGGGGACACAGACCACCGUUUUCAGCACGUUUACAGGCGUCGCCGGUGUGCAUAGCACUUUGGUCCAUAUGCAGGAGCCCUAGUGUUAUUUUCUUGUGUAUUUUCUUUUAUUUAUUAUGCAUUNNNNNNNNNNNNNNNNNNNNACCACCGUUUUCAGCACGUUUACAGGCGUCGCCGGUGUGCAUAGCACUUUGGUCCAUAUGCAGGAGCCCUAGUGUUAUUUUCUUGUGUAUUUUCUUUUAUUUAUUAUGCAUUUCCGUCCUUAUGGUAGUUGCUAUUUUUAGCUGACUUGUUAUGGCUGUGUUUAGUUGUUUUAGUGUCCCAUGUUAUUUGUUGUAUCAUGGGUAGUUACAUGAUCACUUAUUGGGAUCAUAGGUAGUUGCAUAGGGGGCUAUAUAUGGGACCCCAUGUCUCUUGUUUAGUCAGAAUAUUUAAAAUAAAAAUAUUAUUUGGCAAAGGUACUCUCGGAUUGGAGACCACUAAAAGAGGAUUUCUCGAAUCUGAUGGACUCCAGAUCUUCCCCCUCUUUUUCUCUUUGUUCCCAGAAAUUUCUGUUCUGCAUCAAACUCCUUGUGGAAUCAGGAUUACUCUUUGUUCAUAUGUUCCUGAGUGAAAACUGUUGGUUUACGUCAAGCAGAUGGCUUGUGCACGCAUGCAUGCAUGCUUGCAUAUAAAUGUUAGGAUGUAUUUACCCAAAUUCAGUCUUGCUAGCUACUCAAAUUUGAACUUUAGAAUCACUUGUGACAUUCUGGGUGGACUAAAUGAUUUUUGACUCCUUUUAUUUUGGUGGUUAAGUAAAUCAGUUUUUGGCUGGGCAUAUUUGGGCUUUGUCUAGUACAAAAAUAUAACUGUCACAUCUGGAUUGACCUUGUUCAAAAGAUAUGCUCGAUGUUUACCGGUCUGAGGCAAAGUCGUGGUUCCUACUUAUAGAAUAUCUCCUUUGCAGAUUUUUUCCAUUUAAGAAGCUUAAUUAUUUCAAGAAAAUAAUCUUGGUGCGUGUGUCUAAUAGUUAUAACGUGUCUUGACGGAAUAGGAUGCUGGAGAUAGAGAAGAGCUAGUCAAGUUGGCAUCUACUCCUCUGAGGCGCUCAAGCCGACUCCGCAAACGGGUUACUUCUCCUUGAGCUGAAGAUGAGACAGCUCUUUAGUGCUGAUCGAAACAGCAUCCUGUUGUUGUUUCAUGUUCUGAUCUCUGACUUGUUGUAUUGACAAAACAAAUGCUUUCCUAUUAGUGCUGUACUAUGAGAAGGCUUGAGACAACUGAAUGAUUAUUUUUUACAUGUAAUUCUUCUCUCCUGCUUAACAGCUUUAACUCUGCAUGCAAAAGAAAGCUGAGGAGUUUCAGAGUGCAUCUCAUAUAAUUUUUGCCUCAUUAUUGCCGCCAUCACCUGCCUCUGAUAGUUUUGUCAACACGACCUUAGUUUUUUGUCUGCGUCAAUGAUUAGCCAGACAGGUUUGCAAGAUCUCUUCACUUGUUGAUUAAUGAGAUUUAUUUGGUGAUCAGAAUCUUCAUUAGAAGUAUGAGCUCCUUAUUUAUACCAGUAGCGGAAUGAUUUGUCCUGUAUUAACUCAUUUUAUGCUGCCUCUCUGACAUAGUUACAUCUGAGAAUUACCUUCUGGCUGGUGAUUGAAGCUUGGGUACCAUACAUUGCAAUCUGUUGUUGGAGUUUGAUACUUGGAGCAUCAACUUGUAUAUAUUCUUAUUCACGGGAUGGUCUUGAGGUCAAGGUUAUUUCUUCUUUCCAUUGGCUCUGGAGAAGCAUGUAGCGAAGGUUCAGAUGAUGGAAAUUAAGAGAAAUGGGUUAGUGUUAUAUCUUUAUAUUUACAUUUUCGUUUUUGUAAAAUCACCAAUAAAAAGCUCUGCAUCAUUUGCCAAUCCAGUUAAUUUUGUAAAUUGGUUCCCACUAUUUAAUAGCCAUGUAGUUUUUUUUUUUUUUAGUCACUAUGAGGUUUCAGGGUGAGGUGAAUGUUGUUAAACUCUCAUAUAAGGUGAUGCCAACGUGUUCAAUUUGUUUUUUACUACAUUUGAAUUGAUGCACUACUUCCACUGCUUUCUACCUGGAAACUCGUGGCUGUUAUCAUUGUUUUGACUGUUGGAGAGAGUUUUAUCUUAAAUAUCUUGAGUUCUUAUGAUGUCAUUAUCUCCGUUAUCAUGAUUCACAUCUCCGUUAUCUGUCUGCAGGUUAAGGCUAGGUACAUCGUAUAACGACGGAUGCAACUUUCUGAGUCGAGGUAAAAGCGUCACUCGUCAUAAUGAUUGUGGUUAUGCUGCAUAAUUUUACCAAUACCAUCCUUCUUAUUUUUUUUCUUUUUCUCAGUCCCAUCAGGGACCAGGAUAGAUUAUGAGCUACUCAAAAGGUGUGAUAUUGGAUUGUGGCAUGAGUCAACACCGGUUUAUGGAGAAGAUUUUUAUAUCUUCAGAUGACCCUAACUUUUCCCCAAAACGGGGUUAUCUGCUCGUCUCCAUCACCAUGCAUGCAUCUAAGUCCUACUGAUCUGUUCUUAUUCAGCUGUUGGAUUAGAAACCUACUACUUUCACUGGCCCACUAGAAAGGUGGGUGUGGUGUUACGUGGCACUAAGUUGGGUGUGAUGUUGCAUGCGACUAAAGGUUACGAGGAACCAAAAGCUCAAUGAUUGGGUGGGUCAGCGGCGACGAUUUAGAUUCGGUUCCAUGGCCUUUAGACCCCUUUUAAUUUGGUGUUCGCUUGUGCACGUGAAUGCAUAGCGAGAGUAGCAACCUCAUCAUCAACUUUGGCAUUGAAAAAAAUAAAAUAAAAAUAAAAACUUUGGCGUGUAAGUGACAAAUUGGUGAUUGACGGUUACCUAACUUUAUAUCAAAAGGAGUUUGAACAAUGCUGCCAAAAACUAUUUAUCCAUCAUCGAUCUAUAGUGAUACUGAACCAACCAAGAUAAAAUAGACAUAUAAUUCUGAAGAAUUGGAGGAAUUCUUGUCUUAAAAAAUUGCUUAUAGGAGGGCCCAGCACCUAAGUACAUAGUCUUCAAACCCUACAAGUGAUUUUUCAAGGUGAUUCGUCAGCUACCUCUCAAGAACACAAAAAAGAAGAAGAAGAAGGGGGAUGAUUAGCCAGCUUUAGGCUGGCAAGUAUUUUCUGUUUUUUUAUAAACGUGACGUACCACUAGUUCCCACCUAGCUUUUCCCUAAUAUGGUGGCUAUCCUUGGUGUUAGAUCAAUAAUAUAUAUCCAAGGUGUUUCAAAGGUUUAUAAGUCAAAAAUAUCUAGAUAAUAUCUAUCCUUAUAUUUUGUAAAAAAAAAGAAUACCAUCUUAGAUAUUUUACUAUAUAAGUGAGGAAAUAUAAUUAGUUUACUACCAGAAAUUUUGAAAUGACAUGAUAUAUUGACUAUUUUCACUUUAAAAAAAGAAAUGUUAACCAUCACAAAACUUUCUAACCCUAGGUCAUUAUUAUAAACAGAUAUAUAAAAUAAUGAAUUGUUGAGUUAUUAAAAUAAUAAGAUCUAAUUUAUAUAGUUUUAUUAAUUAUUGUGCUUAUCUUAUUUCUUUAAGACUUUUAAAUGAUCAUGGUCCCGUGGUCUUGCGAUGUGCACCAAUAGAUGGUUUUUUUUAUAUAUAUACUGGUCAUAUUGUCAAUUGUGUUGAACUUAAUAACAAAUAUGGUUCAUCAUUGAUCAAUUUAGAAUGUAUUUGCUAGAUGUGAUUUUAAGUUAAUGGAGCGGUUUAAGUCACUUUUAAGAUUUUUUUUAAUAUAGGUUAAUGCUUCUAUGCAUACAAUUGUUUGAAUCAGAGGACUCACGAAAUCAAGUUAAGCAAUGCAAUAUAUAUAUUAUUUUUGUUCUCAACUCUUGUAUUCAUAAUAUAUAUUUUGAUAGAAAUUAUGGACACCAUAUGAAAGAGUUAUUUGAUCCAAGUUUGUAAAAUUGAUUUUUUUUUGAAAGGGGAGAGUGAAUCAUGAGAUACUCCUCAAAUAAAAAUUAACUUUUGCAAGUAUCUAAAAUAAAAGUUCGGCAAUAUGAAGUAAAUAUGCUUUUAUUUUUAUUUAAGUUAUAAUAAGUUUUAAAAUGCAUUUUAUAAAUAUAUAUUUUUAAAAUAAAUGUAACCUUUUAUACUUUUUAGGUAACUAUCUUUUAUUUUUUUAUAAAAUUUAUUUCCAAUUAUUAUUAUUACUAUCCAUAUAAAAACGUAUUUUAUUUCCUUUUUUUUUAGGGUCCAUAAGGCAUGCUUCUUUGUUGAAAACUUCAUAAAAUCCAAAAGCUUCUAUGGACGGACAUGGAUGUCCGACCAAAGAUCCUGUAGAUUCGCCACUCCUCAUCAUUUGUACGAACGAUGUAACCAUAUAGAAAUAUAUUCGAAUAAAUAUAAAAAAUAAAUAGAUAUCAAUAUAUCCAUUAUGAAAAAAAAUAAUACUACGGUAAGGCAGAAAAAUGACAUAAAUAAAAUCACAUAAAAAAUUAUGGCAUGACUGCCAAAUGCCAAUCCCAUCCUACCUCAGCCUCCCUCCUCCUCUCAAAACUCAUUUCCGGGGGAGCGGGGGAGAGAGAGAGGAAAUGCCUCGCCUUGUAGAAACCCUGUUUCUCAGUCCCUCCACCGCCGCUGCCGCCAUCACCAGAUCUGCCACCGCGCGACUUCUGUUCACCGCCUUCACCAUCCUUCUUGUUCUCCACCUCGCUAUCUCUCCUCCCUCCAAAUCCACCUACCACUCCCUCUUCCUCUAUUUCUCCAACAACGCCACCGUCGCCCGCCACCUCAUCGCCCUCACCCGCCG
This 32589-nucleotide long non-coding RNA is filed under the name Phoenix dactylifera (date palm). Its description in RNAcentral is "long non-coding RNA (PDAC_LNC007560)". The record is from RNAcentral. Lineage: Eukaryota; Viridiplantae; Streptophyta; Magnoliopsida; Arecales; Arecaceae.